This 592-nucleotide ribosomal RNA is filed under the name uncultured bacterium. RNAcentral's name for it is "bacterial SSU rRNA". It matches the Rfam family "Bacterial small subunit ribosomal RNA", at positions 794 to 1386 of the family's 1533-position model. The record is from RNAcentral.
UCCACGCNGUAAACGAUGAGUGCUAGGUGUUAGGCCCUUUCCGGGGCUUAGUGCCGGAGCUAACGCAAUAAGCANUCCGCCUGGGGAGUACGACCGCAAGGUUGAAACUCAAAGGAAUUAACGGGGGCCCGCACAAGCGGUGGAGCAUGUGGUUUAAUUCGAAGCAACGCGAAGAACCUUACCAGGUCUUGACAUCCCGAUGCUAUUCUUAGAGAUAGGAAGUUACUUCGGUACAUCGGAGACAGGUGGUGCAUGGUUGUCGUCAGCUCGUGUCGUGAGAUGUUGGGUUAAGUCCCGCAACGAGCGCAACCCUUAUUGUUAGUUGCCAUCAUUAAGUUGGGCACUCUAGCGAGACUGCCGGUAAUAAACCGGAGGAAGGUGGGGAUGACGUCAAAUCAUCAUGCCCCUUAUGACCUGGGCUACACACGUGCUACAAUGGUCGGUACAACGAGUUGCGAGCCGGUGACGGCAAGCUAAUCUCUGAAAGCCGAUCUCAGUUCGGAUUGGAGGCUGCAACUCGCCUCCANGAAGUCGGAAUCGCUAGUAAUCGCGGAUCAGCACGCCGCGGNGAAUACGUUCCCGGGCCUUGUNC